RNAcentral lists this ribosomal RNA (253 nucleotides) under uncultured bacterium. Its description in RNAcentral is "partial 16S ribosomal RNA". It matches the Rfam family "Bacterial small subunit ribosomal RNA", at positions 524 to 776 of the family's 1533-position model. The record is from RNAcentral.
UACGAAGGGUGCUAGCGUUGUUCGGAAUUACUGGGCGUAAAGGGCUCGUAGGUGGCCAACUAAGUCAGACGUGAAAUCCCUCGGCUUAACCGGGGAACUGCGUCUGAUACUGGAUGGCUUGAGAUUGGGAGAGGGACGCGGAAUUCCAGGUGUAGCGGUGAAAUGCGUAGAUAUCUGGAGGAACACCGGUGGCGAAGGCGGCGUCCUGGACCAACACUGACACUGAUGAGCGAAAGCCAGGGGAGCAAACGGG